RNAcentral lists this long non-coding RNA (6105 nucleotides) under Sus scrofa (pig). RNAcentral describes it as "lncRNA (ENSSSCG00005021627.1)". Lineage: Eukaryota; Metazoa; Chordata; Mammalia; Artiodactyla; Suidae. The record is from RNAcentral.
AUCAAGUACAAACUUUUUUUCAUUUAACCCAUUCCUGUUGUCUUAAAUAACUCAAGCAUUGCAGAAUUCUUUUUAAACUACUAGUUCCUUUCAUGAAAGUAUCAUCAGUUUCUGAAACCGAAAAUAAUCUAGAUUAUUAACUUUUACUUAUUUGGGAGAAAGAAAUACUAGCUCAGUUUGCACAUGUGUGCUUUUGGACUCUGUAUUUCAUGAUAAACAACACUGUGUUAUUACCAUAUGUUAAUCUGAAGUUUUAUGUGGAAAAGGAAAGAGCACUAGAUAUCAUGUACAUUUUAAUAAAUGCCUCAAAUAAACCAUGCCUAGAGAUAGUGUUAAUGAUUCAAGCUUUUCCAUAACACACUUGAAAUAGUGGACUAAACUGCACAGAAGAGAAUUCACAGUUCUUACUUUUGCAAUACAUGUGUGAGAUACUUAAACCUUUCAUGUUUCUUUUCCAUGGCUUCAUCUGGGAUUUAUCCUCCAAAUUAUUUAAGCCUAAAUGUUAAAUAGGGCUUUCAAAUUAUGAUUUGCAUGUGUGCACGCAAGGGGCAUGACUUAAACUGUGCUGUGAGAAGCCUACGUGAGAAUUUCCUGAAUUUAGAGCAUAUGAAAAUCUCUAAGGGUCUUUCUGCACAGUUGACAAUGAUUAAGAUCUGGUAUGAUAAAUUUUGACAUUUGAUACUCAACCAUGGAGGAUGGAUCACUCACGACUGGGUAACAGGAUGUGAAGCCUUCGCAUUACAUUUUGUCAAUUGAUAUCUAGGUCCCAUCCAAGGAACUGGAUGGGCUUUAUCACAUGGCUGGCACUGUGGUGGAAUGAAUUCGGUUUCAACUUUCAGGUGGGGUCAAAACAUAAAACUUGCCAUCCUAAUGUUACACAUUUGACAUUCUCACUGGUAGAAUAAGAAUGAUGCCAAGAAAUAACUUAGCUGAAAAUAUACUCUCAAAUUUGGAAGAUGACUGUAGCCAGGGAGCCUGUUUAGCCAAAAUUACUAGAGAUGUCUGCAAUGCUCUUGCCUAAUUUUCCACUUCUCUGCUUAUAAAUAAAUGUCCUAAUUUCUUGUGAGAAAGUAAAAGGCUCACUGACUGCUAUAUCACUCCUGGGAUUUAAUGCUAAAAGUGUUCUACAUGAAGGUCAAUGUUACAGUGAGAUAUAGGUCCUAACCUCCUUUAUCCCCAGUAAUCAUCUUUCUGUUAUAGGCAAAAGGGUAAGUAUGUGUGUAUUUCCAAUAUCCUAAUUAUACUUUUUUUUUCAAAUUUUCUUCUUUUCUCCAUCUACUACCUGAUAAUUUAGAUAAAUGGUGAUUUUACUCUUUAAAAAUAAUGUAAAAAUGUGACUGCUCUCACUAGGCAGUGUAUGAGACAGUACAAAGUUUGGCACAGAUUUUAAUUACUAUGAGCUCAAAGAAAUGAAUGGUACCUUUAGUGGUAAAGGAAAGCUUAAUGGAGGAGAUGGGAAUAGAGUGCAGAAUGGGUAGGAGGGGGCAGGUAGAUUAAAGAGAGGCAAGGGUCUAGGAUGACCUUAGUGAUGUCUAGGAAAACCAUUUUCUGGGAAGGGGUAGAAAGGGUGCAUCGACAUUCAGUGAAUUUUUUUUUUUUGCCAUUUCUUGGGCCGCUCCCAUGGCAUAUGGAAGUUCCCAGGCUAGGGGCUGAAUCAGAGCUGUAGCUGAUGGCCUACGCCAGAGCCAUAGCAACACGGGAUCCAAGCCGCGUCUGCAACCUACACCACAGCUCACGGCAACGCCGGAUCCUUAACCCACUGAGCAAGGCCAGGAAUCGAACCUGCAACCUCAUGGUUCUUAGUCGGAUUCAUUAACCACUGAGCCACGAUGGGAACUCCAGUUCUACAGUAUUAAUAUUGCUGUUAAAAAAUACUUAAUUUCACCAAUCUUAAACUUUCAGCUAAUAGAGAAUGGGAAGAAAUCUGCCGUUUUACUAUGACCUUGGUUUGGGACAUUUUUAUAUACCUCCUGUAUUUGUUAAAGUGCUGCUAGAUGCUUGUACAGAUAAACCACCACAAUUGCAUUACACAAUAAACAUUUCUGCCUUGCUCACAAUACAUACUAAAGUAUGUGGUCCAAGUUGGGUGGUCUUCUACCUAUCAGCGAAGUGAUCAUUCUGAAACUCAGCCUCCUACUAUCUUAUGGUUCCAUCUCCUUCCAGCACCUUAGAGUCCUCUUCACUCAGAACUGGGAAAGGGACCAUGGAGAAUACAGAUCUGUCUCCUCAGUCCUUCCCAUGUUGAUCACUUUUCCACUCAUACGUCCUUUGGCUACAGUGUCCUACUUAGAUGCAAGAACGCUGGAAAAUGUAGUCAUUAGCUGGACAGUUACUUCACCAUGACAACUCAAUACUGCUGAAUGAAACUUUGAUAUCAUUUCAUGUCUUUGCUACACCUCUGAAAUGUAUGUAUAUUUUAGGUCAUUACAGCUAAAUGAUCUUGCAUUUUUGGAUAAAAUGUCCAAUAAAGCAACACAUCACGUGGAUUAUGAUAGAAAAUUAUAAAUUGAAGUAUAGCUGAUUUACAAUGUUGUGCCAAUUUCUGCUGUACAGCAAAGUGACCCAAUCAUACAUAUACACACAUUCUUUUUCUCAGAUUACCUUCCAUCAUAUUCUUUUUUUUCUUCUUUUUAUAGAUGUAACUGCAGCAUAUGGAAGUUUCCAUACUAGGGGUCAAAUUGGAGCUGCAACUGCAGGCCUAUGCCACAGCCAUGGCAAUGCUGGAUUUGAGCUGCAUCUGUGAUCUACACCAUAGCUUGUGGGAGUGCCAGAUUCUUAGCCCACUGAGUGAAGCCCCAGAUGGAACCUGCAUUCUCAUGGAGACUUCAUUCGGUUCUUAACCCACUGAGUCACAAUGGGAACUCCUUUUCCAUCAUGUUCUAUCCCAAGAUAUUGGAUAUGUUUCCUUGUUCUAUACAGUAGGAUUUCAUUUCUUAUUCAUUCUAAAUGUAAUACAUUGCAUCUACUAACCCCAAACUCUCUGUCCAUCCACCUCCUCCUUGCCAACCACAAGUUCAUUCUCCAUGUCUAUAAAUCUGUUUCUGUUUUGUAUAUAGGUUCAUUUGUGCCAUGUUUUAGAUUCCACAUAUAAGUGAUAUCAUAUGCUAUUUGUCUUUCUCUAUCUACUUACUUCACUCAGUACGAGAAUCUCCUACUGUAUCCAUGUUUCUGUGAAUAGCAUUAUUUUGUGUUUUUUAUGGCUGAGUAGUAUUCCAUUAUAAAUAUGUGCCACAUAUUAACAAGGUUUACCUAGGAAUCAAUCAUUCCUAGAUUAAUACUUAUAUUUCUCAGCUGGCAGUCAUUCCAUUCAAUUAUUACCCUAAAAAAACAUCAGAAGUUCAGGUCCCAAACAAAUGCUUUCUAGCUCCAGGGAGGGAUAGUAAGAUAAUUUUUUUUAAGAUAAUUUGGUAUUUCAGUUGAAUUGUUUCAUUAGAAGUCUGCCUGACCUUUUAUGGAAAGUAGUCUUGUACAGAUAGCACUGGAUUAUAUAUCUCCAAAAAGUUGCUUUUCCAAACUCCUGGUUCCUGAGAUUAUACCAUACAGAGCUAGUUGCUCAUCCAUGAGAAAGCAGGAUAAAUCUAAAUAAGCAGUUGGGAUACACAAAUUAAAAAAAAUAGAUGAAGAGGAAAUACUCUCUCCACAGAGUUACCCACACUGGUUUGUGGUAACACAUUUGUUUCUAGUUCUGGGGAAAGUUUAGGGUAUGGCUUUGAACAGCACCCAAACAAAACUGCAAGAAGCUUGUCCAUCCUCUUUUCCAAGGAAAUGACCCUUUAUGCUUCUCCAUGUUUUCAAGUGGGUCGGUUAUAAAAUGAAAAGAGACAUUUUAGCAAACCAAUUAGUGAUCAAGAUGAUUAUGCUCUAAUUGUUUCUAUAUUUUAAAGGAAAAUCAUUGCCAAAUUUAUCAAUAAUGAGGCCACAUUUAUCUGGUCUUAGAAAACCAUUCUGCAUUUUCCUUUUGGUGUUUUUUAGUGAUAUUCAAUCAUGUGUUUUUAUUUGAUGUUUUAUGUACUUUCAUAGAUCGCCAAGUUUCAAGUCUAUUUGAAAGUUCUCCAGAGAAGGUCUCAAGAAAUCCAUGCAGAGAGAUCUUUCAGUGUUAUUCCUUCAUCUGGCAUGUGCUUACUGAGCACUUAUGACAUAGAGAUACUAUGCUAAAUUCUUUAAAGGAUACAAAAGUAAACUGACCCCUCCCCUUAAGAAGUUUACAAUAUAGCUGGAGAGAGAUGAUAUUUAUAUAAAGGAAGAGUCUUCAAAUUUUAUUAGGCAUGAUAGCAUAUACAUUACCUUGUUCUAUAGACUAUUUUCCAAUAUGAAUACCAGAAGGAUUAUUAUUCAUUGUUCUGUAAAUGUUUAUCAAAACACUUUAACACAUAUUCGAUUUUAUUCUUCUAUAGGUAUGUGACAAUAUACAUAGACUAGGAUAUAUACAACACAAUAUGGAAUCUCAGACCUCUAUGAAAUACCAGUUUGUAGCUGACAAUCUUCUUUCUUUAGGAUCAUCUGAAGUUUUAAAUGCUACUGAAAUUUUAGCUUACAGAGGGGUAUACGGUCAUUUCUGAAAGAGUUUGAUAUUCAACUUGAUAUGCACAGGAGAAAAAGAACAUAAAAAACCCAGUGAGGUAUCACCCAAUAGCUUUGUGUUCCAAUGUCAUGAAUAGACGACAGAUCUUACUAGUAAAGGAAUCACAGUGUGCUAUUGAGAAAGAACCUAUUUCAGCUUUCCUUCUUUGAAAAGUACACACUGACAAUGAGUUGGUCUGUCAGCUGAAAAGGUAUUUGGUGAUUUAGAGAGGACUCUACUGCCCUUCUCUCUUCCGCUUUCUCUCCGGCCAACGCACACUCCUGGAAGAAAGGAAAAACACAUUCCCCAGGGCCUGAAGAAAUGAAUGGAGGCAUUGUCAGCCAGGAGAGGAUAGGAAUGCUUCACACGUUUAUCAUCAUUUUCUCGUCAAUGUCCACUCCUCUUUCUUCCCCUAAGUAUUUGGCAAUGACUAAUAACUGACCAAAUAACAUAAAAGAACAAUUCUGAAAUCUUAUCAGGUGUAUUCUUAUGGAGCUGCUAACACCUGUAAUUUAAAACUGAUUAAUUAAAUCAAAGUAGAAGGAAACUUGCAAGAAGAGAAAAUAUAUCAGUAAUCUUGGACUAAAAUGAAAGAAGGCUAUUUUGUUCAUGAGUUAUAUGCUGUAGUAAACAGGGUACCAGUGACUCCUACCCCAGACUCUUGAAUACAGAUGAUAGAAAAAAAAAAAAAGAGAGAGAGAGAGAGAUGUCAAAAUAAACCCAGUGACCAAAAGCAUCAAGUAGAAAGUAUUCCAAAUGUCGAGCAGAAGAUUCAGCUUCCAAAGCUUCUGAUAAAAGACACAUAAUUUAAUAUGGUCAGUUGAACUAACACAAGAUUCACAUCUUCCUGGCUUUUUAAAAUACUUAAUAAAAAAUACAUAUUUCCUAUUUAAACGAAUUUUAGUCCCCAGCACAAUACCUGAAUUUCCAAAAUCUGACCAUUUAUUUUGUAUGAUACAACUUAGAAAUUGCUAGAUCUAAGUGUUUAAACAUAAACAGAUUUUAGGAAUUACUUCAAGAGAGAUGAGUGAGAUCACAAGAAACUAGAACUCAGGGUAAGAAGACUUCUAAUGAACCUUUCAUUCGAAAAAGUAUGUAUGUAUCAAAGGCUACACCAGAAAAUCCCUUGGCUCCUGAACUUGGUGUUUUGCUUUUCUAAGAUCAAGAUUUUUUCAAGGGGUAGGUAGAUGACCCUUUGAGUAGUCUGAGAAAAGCUUAAGCACUUAUAAUUAAUAAGUUAAUUUCCUAAUACUUUUCUAAAGUUAAAAUAAAAAAACAUAUAAAGAUAAUUGAGUAAUCUAGUUCUUUACAGCUAGAGAUUUUGUAGAUUGAUUAGACUGAGUUUUGUCUAUUCUUUCUUUACUUUCAUAGGGUGCUUGCCCCCUAACCAAGAACCCCUGUGGAUUGAAUACAAUGAUAGGUUCAUUUCUGUAAGCCAUGCACUGAAGCAUGGAAAUGCACACAUUUUACAUUUCCUGCCAUUUGUCCUCUGUUCUGGUGGCAAGAAAAAUGUGUUUCUGAUAAAUUUCUGAGUAUGAGCUGAU